UUGAACAAACUGGGUGGGUUGUUGCUGGCCUCUUGGGGCAUGUGCACACCUGCCUUUGUUUCUUCUCUUCGCCACCUGUGCACAUUUUGUAGACUUGGAUAUCUUUCGAGGCAACUCGGUCAGGGAGCUGUCGUUGAGCUCAAGGCUUGCUCGGCUGCUCCUACAUUUCCGGUCUAUGUUCUUUCUUGUACACCAUUGUAUGUUGCAGAAUGUAUGAAUUGGGCAUUUAUAAAUCUAUUA
Molecule: unclassified non-coding RNA, 240 nt
Filed under: soil metagenome
Description: partial internal transcribed spacer 1
Source: RNAcentral